UGUAUGUUGGUUCCAUUUUAAAGAGGUCAAAAUUGAUUAUUGAUUAUGACAUGUUUUGUUGUUUUUGAAUAGAAUUGAUUAUGUCUCAAUUGAUUCGGGAUUUGUAGCUGUGAUAAGGAGCAAACUCCUAAGAAAUUAAAAAACAAGAUGAUGAGUGGUGAAGUAGAAAUUAAAUCGAUGGCUUAAUUUGUUUACAUCUGCUUAAGAGAAUGCUUGCAUCUCUGUACUAGUGUUCUUGUUCUGAUUUUCAUGUGGAAACUGUGUUGUGGCAUCUUUAAAUUUUAUUCUACCACCAUCCGAAAAUUUUAAACUUUACUUAGUAUAAAAUGAAUUAUUUAAAUCUUCAACACAACAUCUUAAUUAUUUAAACUUUACUUAGUAUAACUUUACUUACUAUUUUCUUUUCUUUGAAUUGCAGGGAUUGGAUCUUUGACAAUCUCAACAUGAGAAGAUGGCAUCACACAAGAUUGUGUGGCAAACUAUAUUUAUGGUAACAUGUUGGCACUUGUGGAAGUGGAGGAAUAAGAGCAUUUUUGAAGAGGAGUUCCAUCGUCCUUUCAAUCCAAUUGAUAUGAUUCUCAAAAUGGCUAUGUAGAUUGAUAAUUGCAAACAAAAUAACAUAUUAGAAAAGUCCCACAUCGGGAGUUUUAAAACAAUGGAGAGAAUGAUUUAUCUAUAUAAAAAAGCAGCCCAUCUCACACUUAAUUGAACUUCGAGUAGUUGAGUCAUUUGUUGAUGGAGGACCUUUAAAGAUUACUCUGCUGGAUUGAUGCCAUUUUGCAACUAUUCGGAAAUCAAAGCUUCCGAAGAGUCUCUUCUGCUACCAUAUAGCAAAGUGCUUAGUGAUGAAGUAACGUCUCCAGAUAUAAGUCAAAAUGUGCUUUCAUUUCUCUUAAAUUAUUGAUGAGAUGGCACUACAACUACUGUAUUAAGAAUUGAAAUUUGAAACUCCAUAAAUUAUGGCUGCUCUAUGCUUUUAAGUGGACUUCUUUUAAAGUCAUAACAAAGUUGGAUGGAUGAGAACAACUACUACUAUAGAAAUUCAUAAUUAUGUUGACAAUCAUUUAAUUUAUUUCCUUUCAUUUUUUUCAGUUGAAUUAUUGUCACUACCAAAGAUAGGAUGAGUUGAUGAGUUGUUUUAUUAGCACAAAGUUUACUUGUCUUGAAACUGUGUAUGUAUAUGAAUGUUUCUGUUUGCUAGUGUGCAAACGAGUAACUUUGUCAUUAAACAUUAACACUUCAUUCAUUGAUUCUUGUGCGAAUGUGCAUGUAAAUUUUGCAUGUUGGUGCAACUUUUCUCAAUUUCUUAGACAAUUAUACUAUAGUAUGCUACAUUACUAAUCCACUUAUGGAUAGCAGUAUAUGAUCUCGCAAUUUUAAGAUUUUGAAA
RNAcentral lists this long non-coding RNA (1390 nucleotides) under Medicago truncatula (barrel medic). RNAcentral's name for it is "long non-coding RNA (MTRU_LNC008150)". Lineage: Eukaryota; Viridiplantae; Streptophyta; Magnoliopsida; Fabales; Fabaceae. The record is from RNAcentral.